CGGUUGAUCCUACCGGACCCGACCGCUAUUUGGGUGAGAAUAUGCCAUGCGAGCCGUAUGGGAUAGAGGAAUAUCCCAUGGCAAACUGCUCAUUAACACAUGAUCAACUUACCCUAUAGAGAAAAAUAACCUCGGGAAACUGAGGAUAAUUUUUCGUAGUUGAAUAGGCUUGGAAAAGUUAUUCAACAAAAGAGAUAAAAAAAAUGGUUUUUAUCUGCUAUAGGAUAGGAUCGUGUUCGAUUAUGGUUGUUGGUGAGGUAACGGCUCACCAAGCCGAUAAUCGAUAGGGGCCGUGAGAGCGGGAGCCCCGAGAUGGGUACUGAGACAACGACCCAGGCCUUACGAGGCGCAGCAGGCGCGAAACCUCCACAAUACACGAAAGUGUGAUGGGGUUACCCAAAGUGUUCAAUUCUGAACUGUGGUAGGUGAGUAAUGUUCCCUACUAGAAAGGAGAGGGCAAGGCUGGUGCCAGCCGCCGCGGUAAAACCAGCUCUUCAAGUGGUCGGGAUAAUUAUUGGGCUUAAAGUGUCCGUAGCCGGUUUAGUAAGUUCCUGGUAAAAUCGGGUAGCCUAACUAUCCGUGUGCUAGGAAUACUGCUAUACUAGAGGGCGGGAGAGGUCUGAGGUACUACAGGGGUAGGGGUGAAAUCUUAUAAUCCUUGUAGGACCACCAGUGGCGAAGGCGUCAGACUGGAACGCGCCUGACGGUGAGGGACGAAAGCCAGGGGAGCGAACCGGAUUAGAUACCCGGGUAGUCCUGGCUGUAAACGAUGCAUACUAGGUGAUGGUACGGCCAUGAGCCGUAUCAGUGCCGUAGGGAAACCGUUAAGUGUGCCGCCUGGGAAGUACGGUCGCAAGGCUAAAACUUAAAGGAAUUGGCGGGGGAGCAC
Molecule: ribosomal RNA, 889 nt
Filed under: uncultured archaeon
Lineage: Archaea
Description: bacterial SSU rRNA
Rfam family: Archaeal small subunit ribosomal RNA
Source: RNAcentral